ACUCCUACGGGAGGCAGCAGUGGGGAAUAUUGGACAAUGGGCGCAAGCCUGAUCCAGCCAUGCCGCGUGAGUGAUGAAGGCCUUAGGGUUGUAAAGCUCUUUUGUCCGGGACGAUAAUGGCGGUACCGCAAGAAUAAGCCCCGGCUAACUUCGUGCCAGCAGCCGCGGUAAU
Molecule: ribosomal RNA, 172 nt
Filed under: uncultured bacterium
Lineage: Bacteria
Description: partial 16S ribosomal RNA
Rfam family: Bacterial small subunit ribosomal RNA
Source: RNAcentral